GCGCGCGUAGCUCAGUUGGUUAGAGCGCUUGCUCGACACGCAAGAGGUCAGAGGUUCGAAUCCUCUCGCGCGCACCA
RNAcentral lists this transfer RNA (77 nucleotides) under Candidatus Ryanbacteria bacterium RIFCSPHIGHO2_01_45_13. Its description in RNAcentral is "tRNA-Val". It matches the Rfam family "tRNA". From Rfam's summary of the family: Transfer RNA (tRNA) molecules are approximately 80 nucleotides in length. The record is from RNAcentral. Lineage: Bacteria; Candidatus Ryaniibacteriota. RNAcentral also lists the same sequence under 6 other names.